AGCUGGAGUUAAAUAUCGUGCCAACUCGAAGAUCGGAAUUCAAAAUUUUUAAAAACCCGAAUUUCAAGCUGCAGUUGAAUUUCGAGCCAGCUCAAAGAUCGAAAUUCGAAAAAUUUAAAGACAAGAAUUUCAAUUCGAUUGAACUUUUUUUAAGAAUCAACUUAUUGCAACCAAUCUUUUCAAGACUGUCAUGGUUUUUAACGUUCAAUGUUCGUUAAACUAUUGACACUAGCGUGUAUAUUGACGUUACGUUAUAUUACACUGCAAAUGAAUUUCCGUAAGUGUUCAUCUUUUUAACUUUUGUCAGAUUUGUUCUUUUUUCACAUUUAUACUUAAAAAGAAAAUAUUCUCAAAUUGUAGUUAAUGAAUAAACAAAAAUCUUUAAAGAUACACAUUUGACACAUGUUCUUUAAAUAUUGUCUUUUACAUCAAGUUUAGUUGGUUUCUUUCAAUACAGGACAGUUCCAUUCGGGGAAAAUUUGGGAAAUUUGAGUAGGUUCUUUUGUGUGUACUUGCAACGGACACUGUCGAGGCUCUUUGAUGUUUAUAUGUUCUGUUAACUGACCAUAAAAUCAGUAUGCAAUUGAUAUGUUAAUAAAACCGGAAAAUAUUACAUUUUUCAAAGCUUUUCUUUUUUAUGUUUUCUGACAAAUGUCAGAUCACACUAUUUCUUUCCUUUAAAAGAAAAUGGUAAUUCAGGAUUACAUCUUGGUUCUUUAUUUUUGUAUACAGAAUCCGUAUUUGCAAGAAUACGAAAUUUUGUAUUUUAGGAAUUUGCGGACUUUUAAUAAAAAAGAUCCGUAUUUAAGUAAAGUAAAGACUACGUACAACAAAGUUGCCGUAUAUUUCGAAUGUACGAAUAACGAUAUUAGUUAUGUACGUAUUGCAUGAUAUACAUGUACGGCCCUGCACACCUCCGUAUUUUAAAUUUCAUACCUAUUUAUAAUAAUUUAUGUAGAAUUCCGUACACUUCGGUAUAUCUGCAGUGGUCAUAAUGUCAUUUAUAGAGGAAUUUUAACACAAAUAUUUAUAUCAGCAUAAAGAAAAAUAAAACAAUUUCCGUUGAAUACAGCAGCAUUUUAGAUAAUGUGUUUGCCGGUGGCGUGGUAGUCCCCGUAACAGUUGUCAAGGAUACGCAGCGAACGGUCUUUGUUGGUCAACUUUGACGUCGUGUACAAAAAUUGGCUGAAACUAUUAAAAAAAAUUCAACGGAUUCUAAUCUGAAAUAUGUCAACAUUUUACAUGACGCUACUCGAAAGUUCGCAAAGUGUCGCGUUCUACCCUAAUUGUAUUUUAUGUUAAUUGUUGCCUGAAGUAUAUAUUAUAAUGUAAAAGAAAUUGUUUGGAUGAAAUUAAUUUGAGUAUUUGUGAAAAAAGAUUUUAUUUAAGGACAUUACUUGAACACUUUUCUUACGCGGAGCAAUAUCUACUUAAAUACAGGCGGUGAUGCGGCAACCCUAAAUUACACGUUGAAACUGUUUUGUCGGGAAAGAAUAAUAAUGGUACUAUUAAAAUAAUAUAAGAACAUGAUAAAACAAGAAACAUGGCAAUGCCACGAAACCAGGUUUUCAAUUAUCUCCAUUGUAGAUAAAUAUGUUGUAUUUGUAAUACAAAUGCAAGCAAUUAACAAUGUAACUAUGUGCAAUGUAAAACAUGAAUAAUGUAGGAGGAAUUGCCACAGAAGAAGCGUCACUGUAUAUUCUGUAUAAGGAAAAAAUGUAUUCUGUAUAACGAAAAAAUACAAAGGGCCAUAAUUAGGUCAAAAAUUAUCCAAUCACAAAACCUCUACAAUAUGCGCCAGGGCACAUGAUGACAAAGCUUCUGUGAAAGUUUGAACAAAAUCUGUUGAGAAAUGUAGGACUAGUUCAGCACAGAAGAAUUUGUUCACUAUAUAUUGAUAAUUCUGUAUAAGGAAAAAAAACAAAGGGGCAUAAUUAGGUCAAAUAUUAUCCAAUGGCAAAACCCGGACAAUAAGUGCCAUGGCACUUGAUGACAAAGCUUCUGUAAAAGUUUGGUCAAAAUCCG
This is a long non-coding RNA of Ruditapes philippinarum (Manila clam), 2025 nucleotides long. RefSeq lists it as uncharacterized. The record is from RefSeq and is a predicted model, not a curated record. The transcript is spliced from 2 exons. NCBI's taxonomy places the organism in Eukaryota, Metazoa, Mollusca, Bivalvia, Venerida, Veneridae.